GAUUGGCUCAGAUGGCAGAGUGUCCACCUAGUAAGUGGAAGGUCAAAGGUUUGAUUCCGCUAAGAGGCA
This is a non-coding RNA of Massospora cicadina, 69 nucleotides long. Lineage: Eukaryota; Fungi; Entomophthoromycota; Entomophthoromycetes; Entomophthorales; Entomophthoraceae. The record is from the annotation of a GenBank genome assembly.